UACAGAGGGGGCAAGCGUUAUUCGGAAUUAUUGGGCGUAAAGGGCGCGUAGGCGGCCAUUCAAGUGACGGGUGAAAGCCCUCGGCUUAACCGAGGAACUGCCUGUCAGACUGGAUGGCUUGAGACCGGGAGAGGUGAGUGGAAUUCCCAGUGUAGCGGUGAAAUGCGCAGAUAUCAGGAAGAACACCAAUGGCGAAGGCAGCUCUCUGGGACGGUACUGACGCUGAGACGCGAAAGCGUGGGGAGCGAACAGG
RNAcentral lists this ribosomal RNA (253 nucleotides) under uncultured bacterium. Its description in RNAcentral is "partial 16S ribosomal RNA". It matches the Rfam family "Bacterial small subunit ribosomal RNA", at positions 524 to 776 of the family's 1533-position model. The record is from RNAcentral.